This is a long non-coding RNA of Hyposmocoma kahamanoa, 653 nucleotides long. RefSeq lists it as uncharacterized. Lineage: Eukaryota; Metazoa; Arthropoda; Insecta; Lepidoptera; Cosmopterigidae. The transcript has 3 exons. The record is from RefSeq and is a predicted model, not a curated record.
GCAGCCGUGCGAACUAUUCAGCUCUUGCAGUGAUGUCAUUGGUUCUGUACUCAACGUCUUUUCUACAAGUAUAGCAAAUCGCUAUACGCUAUUCGCUGGCACAAUGGGCACAUUGUACAAAUUGCUAGUCUGGCGAAUGCUCUACGUGAGUCAAGUACUAAAUGCGUAUUGGUAUUCCCCGCUAUCCUUCUCGGUUCUCGGUACGCAUUUAUUGGGGUUGUGCAUACGAAACACCGCACAGUUAGGAUUUCAUCAAGUUUUCGACACAGGGAUGGAAGCCUAUCGCUCGCAUGUACUCAUGGCAAGCGAGUAGAAUAUACAAGUGAGUGAACCACGAUCACAUCUAUCCCGAGAGCAUGCUAAUUCAGUGUCCUCGACGUCCAGUUGUGCGGAAUCACAAUUCAUAAGACUAUUUAUUUAUUUCACUGAUGUUAUAAUCAAUAUAAAUGAGCUUUAGGGUUAGAGAAACGAGAUAGAAAAAGAAAAAUAUGAUGCUGUACGUACAAAAGUUGCCUUCGAGUGCACUACUAAUUGAGCGAAGAAAAUGAUCACAUUUUUAGCGGUUCUCGUGCAAGCUGCUUCUCCUCAGCUAGUUAACGACGAGCUACUACAAGGCUCAAUUUAAAUUACCGUGGAACGGAAUGGCUCGUAUC